RNAcentral lists this ribosomal RNA (430 nucleotides) under Pseudomonadota bacterium. Its description in RNAcentral is "Proteobacteria bacterium partial 16S ribosomal RNA". It matches the Rfam family "Bacterial small subunit ribosomal RNA", at positions 355 to 776 of the family's 1533-position model. Lineage: Bacteria; Pseudomonadati; Pseudomonadota. The record is from RNAcentral.
UGGGGAAUAUUGGACAAUGGGGGGAACCCUGAUCCAGCCAUGCCGCGUGUGUGAAGAAGGCCUUAUGGUUGUAAAGCACUUUAAGCGAGGAGGAGGGUACUGGUAUUAAUACUACCAGGUACUGGACGUUACUCGCAGAAUAAGCACCGGCUAACUCUGUGCCAGCAGCCGCGGUAAUACAGAGGGUGCAAGCGUUAAUCGGAAUUACUGGGCGUAAAGUGCGCGUAGGUGGUUCGUUAAGUUGAAUGUGAAAGCCCCGGGCUCAACCUGGGAACUGCAUCCAAAACUGGCGAGCUAGAGUAGGGCAGAGGGUGGUGGAAUUUCCUGUGUAGCGGUGAAAUGCGUAGAUAUAGGAAGGAACACCAGUGGCGAAGGCGACCACCUGGGCUCAUACUGACACUGAGGUGCGAAAGCGUGGGGAGCAAACAGG